GAGAUAUCGCGACAGACGGUUCGGCUUCCACUCGUUACAUUAUGCUAUGAGGUAUGUGUCGAUGAUAUCGCGUGUGUACCCAAAAGAUGACGGGAUCUCCCGCGUAGGCGUACUGUUUACAAUUUCCGCCGCAGAUUUUACAAUCGACAAUCGCCGUCGUGUAACGCGGGACGCUAUAACCCUGGCGACGUCUCCUUCGCGGUCUGCGACU
Non-coding RNA from Cinara cedri, 211 nucleotides. NCBI's taxonomy places the organism in Eukaryota, Metazoa, Arthropoda, Insecta, Hemiptera, Aphididae. The record is from the annotation of a GenBank genome assembly.